Long non-coding RNA from Rosa rugosa (rugosa rose), 915 nucleotides. RefSeq lists it as uncharacterized. Lineage: Eukaryota; Viridiplantae; Streptophyta; Magnoliopsida; Rosales; Rosaceae. The transcript is spliced from 2 exons. The record is from RefSeq and is a predicted model, not a curated record.
CAAGGAAAAAAAAAGAAAAAGAGAGUAGGAGAACCAUUAAAGGUACCCUCCAUCUCUUGUACAAAUACAAAGGAAAAUUAGACAAAAGCAAAUCCAAUUGGAGCAGUGGAUAUUGCUUUGUAAGCACCUGAUGGAAAGUGAGUAGAACCAAAACCUAGCCUUCCCAAAUCAACAUAGGCUAUGUUUGGGGGGGCUUUUUUGCUCCCCUGCUUAUAAGCACAAGAGCAACAAGUGUUUGGUAAGUGAGCUUAUCCUCAGCUUUUGGAAAAAGCUGCCCCAGCUUCUAUCUAAAAGCAGAAGCUGACUCCCCCCAGCUUUUAGAAGCCAGAAGCUCGCCGAGCACUGUAGCGGUAGUUACUGUUCAUGAAUUUUUUUAAAUCCCGGUUUCUACCCUCCGUUGGCUGAAGCAAUUACAGUCAUCUGCCAUCAAGCCCUCGAUAUCAGUCUCUCGCUCUCCCUCUAAUCACAGAAUGCAUCCAUGCUCGAUCUCCCUCUCACAGGACCCAUCCAGUCGCCGCCACAUCUCGCGCAUCCCAUCUCGAUCUCCCUCUAAUCACAGAACCCAUCAGUCGCCGCAUCUCGAUCUCGGCCUCACUUGCAUCUCAUCAGGAUUUCAGAAGUGAAAUUGAAGCCUCAAUCAAGCAAGCCUCAAUCAAGCAAUGAAGACAUUUUGUAUACGGAGACAUGCACAUGGUGAUAGACAUUUUGUCCGCAGUGAAGAAAGAGAAGGUUAUGGGUCAAGUGGUGGGAUAGAAAUGGAUGAUGAUGUAGAAGAAUAUCAUGGUCACGGUGCACAAGAAAUGGAAACAAUAAGAAAUAGCAUUACUCAAAGUUUGAUGAAUGCGCGUAAUAACGUGAACAUUUGAUGCGAACCAGAAACCAAUUGUUAUUAAUGUUACUAAUAUAUUUGUAUAA